CAGUAGCCACGGUAAUACGUAGGUGGCAAGCGUUGUCCGGAAUUACUGGGCGUAAAGGGCGCGUAGGCGGACAUUUAAGUCAGGGGUGAAAUCCCGGGGCUCAACCUCGGAACUGCCUUUGAUACUGGGUGUCUUGAGUAUGAGAGAGGUGUGUGGAACUCCGAGUGUAGAGGUGAAAUUCGUAGAUAUUCGGAAGAACACCAGUGGCGAAGGCGACACACUGGCUCAUUACUGACGCUGAGGCGCGAAAGCGUGGGGAGCAAACAGGAUUAGAGACCCCCGUAGUCCCUGUCUCUUAUAC
This 301-nucleotide ribosomal RNA is filed under the name uncultured bacterium. RNAcentral's name for it is "partial 16S ribosomal RNA". It matches the Rfam family "Bacterial small subunit ribosomal RNA", at positions 509 to 807 of the family's 1533-position model. The record is from RNAcentral.